This 1164-nucleotide long non-coding RNA is filed under the name Sinocyclocheilus grahami. RNAcentral's name for it is "lncRNA (ENSSGRG00000014230.1)". The record is from RNAcentral. Lineage: Eukaryota; Metazoa; Chordata; Actinopteri; Cypriniformes; Cyprinidae.
CAACCAGGUAAAAGAGAGGAAGUGAAAACUGAAACUGAGGAGGCACAAGAGAAAGUUAUGGAUGGGUACAAUACAAUUGAAGAGGUACAAGAUUCAUUAGUACAAGAACCAGAGACACAUGCUGAAACGCUGGAUACUGAAAAUACAGACACUGAGGUUCCAGAGAUGGAGGGAGAGGGUUCGGCAUCUCAGACAGAGAAUGGUACAGAAACAGGUGCAGGUGACACUGAGAGGCAGCGAGACACUGAUGACGCAGAUCAGAACAUAGAGAGGAGAAGCGAUGGACAGACUGACAGAGAUGAAAGAGAAGACCUAGCAGAUGAGGCUGGGGAUGAUAGGUCAACUGGGGAAAUGGUACAGGAGACAGAUGGCAAGGUGGAUGAUGGGGGCUCUGUUGGUAAGGUGGAAGAUGGAGACAAAUCUAGUGAAGAUAAGGCAGAGGAGGAAGCUACAGAAAAGCUAGAGGUUGAGGAUAGAAUUGAAAAUCUGGGAACAGAAGAGGCAGGGAAACCUGGGGAAGAAGAGACCCAAGGUAGUGAGAAAGAAAAUGAGGAUGGCCAUGAUUUAAGUGCAGAAGAUAAAGAAAAUGAGGACAGUACAGAAAAAGGUGAAGAUAGGGUGAAUGAUGAACAUAACGAAGGUGAAGCUGAAGAACUGUCUAUUGAGGCUGGGAAUAGACAAAAUAAGUCAGAGGGUAGUCAAGAUGUGAGGACACAGGGUAAUGAAAUAGAGGAUGAUAGCCUGAAUGAUGAACAGAAUGAAACAGAAAAUGGAGAACAGGUUAGAAAUAUAAUUAGUGUUGAGGCAGAGGAAGAAGGGCAUGAAAAACCAAACAGUGAGGAUGAUAUUGGAGGAGAAACCAAAAAAGUGAAAGACGAAACAAUGGAAGAUGUGGUUCAGAAAGAGGAAGAAGAAGCAGAGGUGGAGGAAAAGAAGAUAGAUGAGAUGGCAGAGGGAACAGAUGGAAAUUGUGUAGAGAAUGAGUUAGAAACAGGUGAAAAUUUGGUAGAAGAUCCAGAGAAAGAGGUGACAGAUAUGAACAAAAUUAGUAAGAAUACAUUAGAUACAGAGAAUGGAAAAGAAGAGGCAUUUUCUGAUGAAAAUACAGCCCAAAAACUAGAAGUCAACUUUGAGGACCAAAAUGAGGAAUCUGUUUCAAAGGAA